This 253-nucleotide ribosomal RNA is filed under the name uncultured bacterium. RNAcentral describes it as "partial 16S ribosomal RNA". It matches the Rfam family "Bacterial small subunit ribosomal RNA", at positions 524 to 776 of the family's 1533-position model. The record is from RNAcentral.
UACAGAGGUCCCGAGCGUUGCUCGGAAUCACUGGGCGUAAAGGGUGCGUAGGCGGGUCUUUAAGUCAGGGGUGAAAUCCUGGAGCUCAACUCCAGAACUGCCUUUGAUACUGAAGAUCUUGAGUUCGGGAGAGGUGAGUGGAACUGCGAGUGUAGAGGUGAAAUUCGUAGAUAUUCGCAAGAACACCAGUGGCGAAGGCGGCUCACUGGCCCGAUACUGACGCUGAGGCACGAAAGCGUGGGGAGCGAACAGG